CAUUGUGAAGCUUAGAGCGUUAACCUUUUAAGUUAAAGUUAGAGACUGCAGUCUCCAUGAUGA
RNAcentral lists this transfer RNA (63 nucleotides) under Lenothrix cana. RNAcentral describes it as "tRNA-Lys". Lineage: Eukaryota; Metazoa; Chordata; Mammalia; Rodentia; Muridae. The record is from RNAcentral.